RNAcentral lists this ribosomal RNA (1375 nucleotides) under Klebsiella pneumoniae. RNAcentral's name for it is "partial 23S ribosomal RNA". It matches the Rfam family "Bacterial large subunit ribosomal RNA", at positions 104 to 1527 of the family's 2925-position model. The record is from RNAcentral. Lineage: Bacteria; Pseudomonadati; Pseudomonadota; Gammaproteobacteria; Enterobacterales; Enterobacteriaceae.
CCGGCGAUGUCCGAAUGGGGAAACCCAGUGCAAUUCGUUGCACUAUCGUUAACUGAAUACAUAGGUUAACGAGGCGAACCGGGGGAACUGAAACAUCUAAGUACCCCGAGGAAAAGAAAUCAACCGAGAUUCCCCCAGUAGCGGCGAGCGAACGGGGAGCAGCCCAGAGUCUGAAUCAGCUUGUGUGUUAGUGGAACGGUCUGGAAAGUCCGACGGUACAGGGUGAUAGUCCCGUACACCAAAAUGCACAGGCUGUGAACUCGAAGAGUAGGGCGGGACACGUGGUAUCCUGUCUGAAUAUGGGGGGACCAUCCUCCAAGGCUAAAUACUCCUGACUGACCGAUAGUGAACCAGUACCGUGAGGGAAAGGCGAAAAGAACCCCGGCGAGGGGAGUGAAAAAGAACCUGAAACCGUGUACGUACAAGCAGUGGGAGCACCUUCGGGUGUGACUGCGUACCUUUUGUAUAAUGGGUCAGCGACUUAUAUUCUGUAGCAAGGUUAACCGUAUAGGGGAGCCGCAGGGAAACCGAGUCUUAACUGGGCGUUAAGUUGCAGGGUAUAGACCCGAAACCCGGUGAUCUAGCCAUGGGCAGGUUGAAGGUUGGGUAACACUAACUGGAGGACCGAACCGACUAAUGUUGAAAAAUUAGCGGAUGACUUGUGGCUGGGGGUGAAAGGCCAAUCAAACCGGGAGAUAGCUGGUUCUCCCCGAAAGCUAUUUAGGUAGCGCCUCGUGAACUCAUCUUCGGGGGUAGAGCACUGUUUCGGCUAGGGGGUCAUCCCGACUUACCAACCCGAUGCAAACUACGAAUACCGAAGAAUGUUAUCACGGGAGACACACGGCGGGUGCUAACGUCCGUCGUGAAGAGGGAAACAACCCAGACCGCCAGCUAAGGUCCCAAAGUCAUGGUUAAGUGGGAAACGAUGUGGGAAGGCACAGACAGCCAGGAUGUUGGCUUAGAAGCAGCCAUCAUUUAAAGAAAGCGUAAUAGCUCACUGGUCGAGUCGGCCUGCGCGGAAGAUGUAACGGGGCUAAACCAUGCACCGAAGCUGCGGCAGCGACACUAUGUGUUGUUGGGUAGGGGAGCGUUCUGUAAGCCUGCGAAGGUGACCUGUGAGGGUUGCUGGAGGUAUCAGAAGUGCGAAUGCUGACAUAAGUAACGAUAAAGCGGGUGAAAAGCCCGCUCGCCGGAAGACCAAGGGUUCCUGUCCAACGUUAAUCGGGGCAGGGUGAGUCGACCCCUAAGGCGAGGCCGAAAGGCGUAGUCGAUGGGAAACAGGUUAAUAUUCCUGUACUUGGUGUUACUGCGAAGGGGGGACGGAGAAGGCUAUGUUAGCCGGGCGACGGUUGUCCCGGUUUAAGCAUGUAGGCUG